UUCCGAGCCCGUCUACUGUUUCUCUCCUUCACUCCUCCCCUGAACGGCCGAACCCUCGUCCCUAUCCAUCCAUCUCUCUUCCUCUGCCCCGUGAGCCACCGUCGUGCUUCUCCUCCACGCUUGUUGUGCCCCGCCUCCAACGCCACCCACGCGUCGCCGGCGCUCGGGACGAAGCUCCACUGGCACAUCGCCUACAGCCGCCAAUGGAUUCAACCUCCAACCCCACCCCACACACGGCCAGCGUUGGAUCCGGGAACGGUGGAAGCACGAACCGGUGACUGCAGAUCCAGCACGGCUGAGACUUUGGGGAUGAAGGCCGUCGACUAGGCAAGGAUCCUCAGUGUCGAGACCGUCUUUUCUUUCCUCGAUAUUCUCUCUGUAAAUUUUUGUCCCUCGAAUUUUCUCUCUAAGUUUUCCUGGAUCUUUUUUCCCGAUCAACUCUGACACCAAUGGUGUUCAGAUCGUAUUUGUUUCUCGUUUUUUCUCGCAAAUUUUUCUUUCCUCGAAAUCUCUCUGAGGUUUCUUGGAAAUUUUUUCAUCGUCAACUCUGACACCCAAUGUUCUCUCAAAUUUUUCUUUCCUCGAAUUUUCUCUCUGAGGUUUCCUGGAUAUUUUUUGUACAACAUGAUAUUGUGGUGUUCAAAUCUUGGUUUUUUAGGCGGGGAAAAAUCUGGGCAAUUCUGAGAUUUUACAUGACUGUGAUUUGCGACAGAAAAUAAUCAAAGUGCCCGUACUGCAACAAUGGAGAAGGUUAGUGAUGGGUCAUGGACAAAGAACAACCCCGGCAAGUAUUUCUACAAGUGCAAGCAUCACUGGACUAGGAGGUGUAAAUUCUGUUAAUGGGAAGCGGUGUACAUCAAGAAGUGCUUUGUGCAAGGUGGCCUAAGCUGUUCAUCCAUGCCGACAACUUGCCCAAGAAUAAUAAGGCGCCUCUCAAUGUCCUCUCCUCAUCGUUGGGAUUCUCAGCCCAGCCGUUGUUCUGUACCCCUGCAUCAGGCUACAUGGAAUAUGCUAAUUUAGGGAUCUGUGAAGCUAAUCCCCUAGAUGUUCCCUAACUAUCUAUCCAGGAAGUUUAGUACCUGCCAUAUAUGUGUGUAACCAGGGAAUUCCUUUACCAAGAAUCUGCCGGAAAGUUCAGGCCUAUCUCCUGGACACUGUAAACAUUUUCAAAUUUGAAUCUUCAAACACA
Triticum dicoccoides is the source of this 1189-nucleotide long non-coding RNA. RefSeq lists it as uncharacterized. The transcript is spliced from 2 exons. Lineage: Eukaryota; Viridiplantae; Streptophyta; Magnoliopsida; Poales; Poaceae. The record is from RefSeq and is a predicted model, not a curated record.